UUGACGGGGCCCGCACAAGCGGUGGAGCAUGUGGUUAAUUCGAAGCAACGCGAAGAACCUUACCAGGUCUUGACAUCCCUGACAACCCGAGAGAUCGGCGUUCCCCCUUCGGGGGACAGGGUGACAGGUGGUGCAUGGUUGUCGUCAGCUCGUGUCGUGAGAUGUUGGGUUAAGUCCCGCAACGAGCGCAACCCUCGACCUUAGUUGCCAGCAUUCAGUUGGGCACUCUAAGGUGACUGCCGGCUAAAAGUCGGAGGAAGGUGGGGAUGACGUCAAAUCAUCAUGCCCCUUAUGACCUGGGCUACACACGUGCUACAAUGGGCGGUACAAAGGGUCGCGAACCCGCGAGGGGGAGCCAAUCCCAAAAAGCCGCUCUCAGUUCGGAUUGCAGGCUGCAACUCGCCUGCAUGAAGCCGGAAUCGCUAGUAAUCGCGGAUCAGCAUGCCGCGGUCGAAUACGUUCCCGGGCCUU
Molecule: ribosomal RNA, 471 nt
Filed under: uncultured Anoxybacillus sp.
Lineage: Bacteria; Bacillati; Bacillota; Bacilli; Caryophanales; Anoxybacillaceae
Description: bacterial SSU rRNA
Rfam family: Bacterial small subunit ribosomal RNA
Source: RNAcentral